RNAcentral lists this ribosomal RNA (344 nucleotides) under uncultured fungus. RNAcentral's name for it is "SSU rRNA". It matches the Rfam family "Eukaryotic small subunit ribosomal RNA", at positions 292 to 636 of the family's 1831-position model. The record is from RNAcentral. Lineage: Eukaryota; Fungi.
GGUUCAUUCAAAUUUCUGCCCUAUCAACUUUCGAUGGUAAGGUAUUGGCUUACCAUGGUUUCAACGGGUAACGGGGAAUUAGGGUUCGAUUCCGGAGAGGGAGCCUGAGAAACGGCUACCACAUCCAAGGAAGGCAGCAGGCGCGCAAAUUACCCAAUCCCGACCGGGGAGGUAGUGACAAUAAAUACUGAUACAGGGNCUUUUUGGGUCUUGUAAUUGGAAUGAGUACAAUUUAAACCUCUUAACGAGGAACAAUUGGAGGGCAAGUCUGGUGCCAGCAGCCGCGGUAAUUCCAGCUCCAAUAGCGUAUAUUAAAGUUGUUGCAGUUAAAAAGCUCGUAGUUG